GUCCCUGGUUCCAAAUGAACAUCACACUGUCCACAAAAGCUUUGUAACUGUGAGUUCCAUCCUUUGGUAAUAUUAUACCCUUUGAUGUUGGAUUCAUCCUUUGAUGUUGUCUACGGGAUAUAUGCUGCGGCUCAAACCAUUGUUAAUAUUAUACCCUCUAUAUUAUCUUUGAAUCUUUUUUCAGUUUUAUUGACAGCGGAAUGACUCAGAAUGUAUCUUGCAGUUUUCUCUGCAACUGUCUUGCUUAAAAUCACUUUGUGAACUCCUUGUGUAUUUAGUCACGGCCUUUGUUUGAGAUACUUCAAAUUCAUUUAAUUUGGGUAUUACGUUUUUUAAACUCAGGCUACUGAGCAAAAAAGUGUAAAACUGUAUAAUGCUUAUAUAAUAAAUCAUUCUUAUUAUUAUUAUCAUUAUUAUUACAAAAAUCAGCAGGUUUGUAAACUUUAAAUUUUCAACAAAACUUAGAAAAGUUUAUUUUUUCAAUAUUUUUUUUGAAAUAUAAAAAUAAGUUUAAAAAAUUGAAACAUGAGGGAUCAGAUAUGAAAAUUGGAGCGCCCAAUCUAACCUAUACUAAAAGGGAUAUAUGAGCAUCAGUUAGACCAUCCACGUCACUCUAAAAAAUCUACCAAUAGUGAAGCUUCAUUUUGCCACGUCACUACUGUUUUGUCGAUCAAAGAUAAAAAUCGGGUCUUUGGUAUUAUUUGGUUAGAAGUUCUUAGCCCAACAAUGGCCCAUUUUCUGUAUACAACCUAAUACCUGUAAAAUAUAGUUUCCACAUCGUCGUCUUCGAUCUCAUCUCAUCGCCACCUUCAUCUGUACCGCUUCCCCUUCUCCUUUUAAACGUAUACGAUCAACAUAUUAAGUCUCAUCAAACUCAAUCAUUAACUGCAGAGCUACUGAAGGCAACAUAGACAGGGAAUCAAUCGGCAAGGCCCCAUGGCUCUCUUCUUCAGUGACGUCGUUGUUGGUUUGGGCUGGAGCUUCUUCUUAUUGAUGAACUGUGGCUAUCUGCUUAAUGUUUAUUAAUCACAACAAUCAACACAAAACGUAUAGAAGGCUACGCUGCUCUCUGUUCAUGUCCUUAUCUAGAGUUUUAAUUGACAACGAUGUGCCCCCCGACCAUUAGGAUCGGUGGAUCUGGAAUGGACAUCAGAAGCAAAGCCAGGCAGGAGUUAUUGCUAUGGUCAAUGCAUCUGAGGUAAUAAAGGUCAAGACGCUAACCAUUCGUGAGAUCUUUGCCUUUUUGAAACAGGAACAAGCUCAGGCAGCCUUUUUAACUGCAUAGCCACCAUUGGUACGUUAUGUGGGACUCUAGAUGUUAUAAUAUUCCAUGUAGUGAUUGCCAAACUAAGGUGAACAGAGGACUGACCUCAUUGAUGUGUCCAAAAUGUGAUAACGUAAAUGUUACUGAAUUUUCGAGGUUAGCUUUCCUAAUCCUCACAUUUCUACAUCACUUAUCCUUUCAUUCUAAGUCGUCUGCUCUUCAAGAAGGUAUUGUUCUGAAAUUUUCGCUUACCACAAAGGCAAGAAGGCCACUUUUGUAAGACUUGGUGAUGCACGCCUGAGCUCACGGUAAGGCAGGCGUUAGUGUUAAUUGACAACUCUUUCGAGGGCAAAUGGAGACAUAGGUGCUCAUCAUGAGAUGCCAACUCCACAAUGUCUGCUGGAUAUAAUAGGGCAAACCCACAAGUUCAGAGUGAAGGUUUCAGACUAGAAAUACUAUAACGGCACCAAGAUUGUCUCCAUUGCUCUCCUGCCCCCUCUACCACAAGCCGUUGAGUACCAGUAAUUCUGGUGAUAAUGGUGACCAGUUUCCUGGGGCAAGUGUAGCAUGUGAGUCUGCCUUAGGUUCAACCUGCUCCGGUGGUCCUUCUUGUGAGGCAAGUGCUCCUAAUAGUGCGAUUGGAGAGAAAGAAGUGUGCAAAACGCAGUAACUAAAACAUCCCACAGUGGCCCUCUCAACUCCAUGCAUGCUUCAUCACCAUUGAACUAUCAUUAUCUACCUCACUUAUGUUUUUUUCUUUAUCUAGGAUUUCCAUUCGCUCUUAAUUUUUUCUUAAACUUGGGUUUUCGUCGUUGAAAAUAGUUCACUUAUUUUGA
Brassica napus (rape) is the source of this 2100-nucleotide long non-coding RNA. RefSeq lists it as uncharacterized. Lineage: Eukaryota; Viridiplantae; Streptophyta; Magnoliopsida; Brassicales; Brassicaceae. The transcript has 8 exons. The record is from RefSeq and is a predicted model, not a curated record.